This 1376-nucleotide long non-coding RNA is filed under the name Homo sapiens (human). RNAcentral describes it as "HSALNT0386069". The record is from RNAcentral. Lineage: Eukaryota; Metazoa; Chordata; Mammalia; Primates; Hominidae.
CCAGAAUGUUCCUUGCUGCAGAUGCAUUGGCCCCAUCUGCAGGUCCUCUUUGACACCUACCUUACUCUCUCCCUCCACUCACACUCUGAGAACUGUGCUCAGGGGCAGCGCUACAACUUCCACAUUGGUCUUUACAGGGCUUGAGUGAUUAUUUCAAGAACAGAACGCUGUGUGGAAACCUUUACCAUAUUUCGUUGUAUCUAAGACACAUUUUUUUUUUUUGAAAUUUAACAUCUCUAAGGUUGGGUUAUGUUUCUUCAUCAUUGUCAGGUUGGAGCUUAAUCAGCAGCACUUUUUUUUAAUGUCACACACAGUAAUGGUGAUGCAUCUCACAAUUGAGAUCAUCUUAGACAUGAUGGAAUAUGGAAUCGUGUGCCUGUUACAAGCCAGGCUCUUGUCUGGGUUCUAGAGACGGUGGAAACCAAGACAGCACCAUCCUCUAGUGGUGUUCACAUCCCACCACAGUGGAGUCAGGACUUUGAAGUCCUCCAUUGGAUCUUCUCGGAAGAUGAGGGAAAUGAGAGAGUGUGGAGAGAGAUUUUGUAAGUCCGGUCUGGAAGUGGUCAUUGUUCAGAAUCCAGCCACGUGGGUACAUGGAACUGUAAGAAUAUGUUCUGUGGACACUACAGAUGCAGAUUAAAUCACCUGCAAAGUGAAUCUGUCAGCCCUAACAAUAAGAAUAGCUCUUUUAUGAUGAGCAGGUGAGACCAGGUAAUUACCGAAGAAAGAGAGUGAUGUGUUCAUUGAAGUCUACUCAUGGAGGAAAGAAGAUUCUAUUACUCUUAAAUUGCAUAUGGUUGGUGUUGACCUAACAUCCUGACCUGUCAGUACAAUUUGAAUCCUGAUUCUGCCAUCAAACAUGCCAAUGAUUCCUUCCAUAAAUGUGGCUAUUUCAACAUGGGAAACUGAAAUCGGGCAUAUCCCUGCGGAAGAAGCUGUCUCUUAGCGAAGAAUAAAACUGUGGACUGACCCCCACCCAUUUGCGAAGAAAGUACUGGGUCUUCAGCUUUCAUUGUUCAGCCGGUGGUCUUUGUGGACAACACCAGGGGCCCCUCCUGCUGAAGACUGUCUGGACUUCCUGAUUUUCACUCCUGUAUAAACCCCCUCCCCCAUUACUACCUUUGUCUCCUUGGGGAAAAAAAAUGUUUUUCACUUAAGCAAAAUAAUAACUACCCAGUAUUUGUUUCUGGAGUGAAAUUGUAAACUUCAUUGUACAUUCUUCCUGGCUUUGAUGCUUAUCGUGAAGAGUUCAGUGAAAAUAAAUUGUUUUUAUGAAAGCAGAGAAACCAUUUGAUAAACACGCUGUCUCUGAAAAUCGUUCCUGCAAAAGAGGUCAUUCUUUCACUUUAAAAGAAAUAGAAUAUAUUUCAGAAAAC